This 379-nucleotide ribosomal RNA is filed under the name uncultured cyanobacterium. RNAcentral describes it as "SSU rRNA". It matches the Rfam family "Bacterial small subunit ribosomal RNA", at positions 376 to 770 of the family's 1533-position model. The record is from RNAcentral. Lineage: Bacteria; Bacillati; Cyanobacteriota.
CGAAAGCCUGACGGAGCAACGCCGCGUGAGGGAUGAAGGCCUCUGGGCUGUAAACUUCUUUUCUCAAGGAAGAAGAUCUGACGGUACUUGAGGAAUAAGCCACGGCUAAUUCCGUGCCAGCAGCCGCGGUAAUACGGGAGUGGCAAGCGUUAUCCGGAAUUAUUGGGCGUAAAGCGUCCGCAGGCGGCCCUUCAAGUCUGCUGUUAAAACGUGGAGCUCAACUCCAUCAUGGCAGUGGAAACUGUUGGGCUUGAGUGUGGUAGGGGCAGAGGGAAUUCCCGGUGUAGCGGUGAAAUGCGUAGAUAUCGGGAAGAACACCAGUGGCGAAGGCGCUCUGCUGGGCCACAACUGACGCUCAUGGACGAAAGCCAGGGGAGCG